This is a long non-coding RNA of Rosa rugosa (rugosa rose), 576 nucleotides long. RefSeq lists it as uncharacterized. Lineage: Eukaryota; Viridiplantae; Streptophyta; Magnoliopsida; Rosales; Rosaceae. The transcript is spliced from 3 exons. The record is from RefSeq and is a predicted model, not a curated record.
UCUCUCUCACCUCUGCAACUCCGGUUGCUUUCUCUUUCCGACCACCAAAAAGCUUAAAACCGGUGGCUACGGACUCGUCUCGACCUCCUCUUGGUGCCUGCGGUGAUGGCUCAUGGCGGCUUGGCCGGAAAAUGACGCAUCGAGCUGUGGAAGUUUCACUGUAGCAGAAGUGGUCAACGCCAGUUUCUCCCGAUUCCGGCCACCUCCGGCGACGAACCAUAAUCAUUUGGAAGCGCCUUGCGAUGUAGAUGAUGCUCCCCAAAUAUUUUGCAGCGAUUUGAAGCGUGGAGGAAGAAUUGAAGGACGUUGUUGCGAGCUAUGGCUAGAUGAAGGAACUCGUUUGUGUGGUCGCCAAUAGUACUUUUGCAGGCGCUAUUAGUUGAGGUCGGGCGUACAUGGUUCGAGGCAUAGUUGACGAAUAGCUUCCGCGCUUCUUUGUUUGGCUCUGAUCUAUUGUGGGUUACUAUUUUGGGUAGUCCUCUUUAGGGGUGACUCGACCAGUUCUCGGUAGAGUUAUCUCUAAGGUGGGCCCCGCAGGGCCACCUCGGAUUUCAGGGUGAAAUUCGGGGCGGGUCC